CCUCUCGCUUGCUGCACUACUUGCCCUAAUAUCCCACCUCUAUAAAUACCCGCAGGUGGCCAACCUGCGUCGGAUAUCAUCCUCGUCUCGGCCGUCUCCUGCCAUCAAACUGUUCCAAAAAAGCCUCGUCUCUCUUUCAUACUGCUUCCCGUUCUCGGAUGCGAUGAAGAGAAAACAUUCUCUACUGUGAUCGUCGGGUUCCUCUUCGGAUCCGGCGACAUGAAGUCCAUCUAAUUUGUAUCUUGCCAAACGAAGGACCUAUGGAGGAAUCGCUUCUUACGCGGUGCUAUUCUUUCCAAGUUUGCCUUCGGAUAGGAAGUAAAAGCGAGGUGGGACGGCCGGACUCGUAGAUGAAUUCGAGUUUGGGUGAUCUCCGGGUCGUUCUUUCGAUCCGUUCUUCGCACAUCUAGAAUAGUGUUUGGCAGAGAUCCAUGUAGAAGAUCGAGUAAGAGGGGACGAAAAGAGCGAAGGGCCCAGCAGAGGGGUGAUGAACUCGUGAGUUGAGACCUCUCUAACUUCUCGGUAUAACCUUCGCAAAGUGAAGCCUGCCGUGAUCGUACGACGCCUGAACUCUGUGGUUUUCCUGGUGUCUCGUACACGGCUACAGAUCCUCUCGGCGACUGAUUAACUUUUCAAUUUUUCUUGAUGAUACUUUGGAGCAUUGUAGCUUAGCUAA
Musa acuminata AAA Group (dessert banana) is the source of this 676-nucleotide long non-coding RNA. RefSeq lists it as uncharacterized. The transcript has 2 exons. The record is from RefSeq and is a predicted model, not a curated record. NCBI's taxonomy places the organism in Eukaryota, Viridiplantae, Streptophyta, Magnoliopsida, Zingiberales, Musaceae.